UGAUGCUACCAAGCUAAUUGCUUAAGCAUUUCAUGGUUUUUGUGGUAUGCAUCCUAUACUGUUCCAUUCAGCCACUGGACUAUAACUCAGAAUCAAAUUUCACUCUUAAUUUUGCCAAAAUUCAAUCAAUAUUGCAUAUCAUUUGAAGGAAUGGAAAUGAGGUGAUUAUUCACACACCCGAGCUCCAACUAAUUUGGUCAUUGCUCCAUUGGUGUGCAGAUUCAACACUCACUUCAGAAUUAUGCAGCAGAAAUUCAAAAUCGCAGAAUCACNAGNAUUAAACAAUGAAAGCAAUUAAACAUGACUAGACAAAAACGGAUCAGAAUUUCAAAAUUAAAAAUACUCAAAGAAAAGGAAUAGACCGAUUAAAAUGAUGGAAAAGAAAACAAUCAAAAGCUGGAACAAAGAAAAAAAUCACACGACAGAAUCUACUGGAACUUGAAAAUUUAAUGGAACAGUGAAACAAAGAAGCAAAGACAGUGCAGGAAAUUCAAUGACAGUGUGGAAUUAAGAAAAUAGACUUAGUUGGAGCAUGAAUCAGCCAACCAUGGCUCUGAAUACCACUUGAUACGGAUGCUCCAACCAGGAAAAUGAACUUAGUCAGCGGAAGAUGGAGAUCUGAAUCAGAGGCAGCGGACAGGUGCAGUAGUAGUGAAACAGCGGAAUGCAAAGGCGUUUGAGUUAGAGGAUUAUAUGUUGUUCAACGGUGAAACAGAGAUGAAUUCAGUGGCGUAGAUGAUGGUUUGAAGAGCUCUACGGUGGAUGGAAGCUAGCUCAGGCAGCCUUCCACUGGAAGGAAGCUAGAUGGGAAAUGGAAAGCUCAAGAGAAAGUGACUUUCGGCAGAAUUCAGUGUGUUGGAAAAUGCAUCAGCAAAGACUAAAUUCAUAGAUAAUCCAAAAGUGUAUUACAUCAAAUGUUGCCAUGAAUAUAUAAGGAAUUCAUGGCCAUGUUCGUGGCUAAUAAUCAUCCUAGAUGCGUGGAUCUGUUGCCACGUGUAUCAAGCAAGGAAAGUGUAGUGUGUCUAGAAGAAAGCACGAAAUACAUGUGCUGCACAUGAAAAAUAAAACAGCUGCAGCAUAUGGGAAUGAGGAUGACAUGUGCUUUCAUGUUGCCACCCCUUCCUUANUAGGCUCACCCCCUUCCUUUGUGGAAAUGACUCUUUUACCCUUCUCCUUG
RNAcentral lists this long non-coding RNA (1177 nucleotides) under Vigna radiata. Its description in RNAcentral is "long non-coding RNA (VRAD_LNC017650)". Lineage: Eukaryota; Viridiplantae; Streptophyta; Magnoliopsida; Fabales; Fabaceae. The record is from RNAcentral.